This 1706-nucleotide ribosomal RNA is filed under the name Ophichthus rotundus. Its description in RNAcentral is "16S ribosomal RNA". It matches the Rfam family "Bacterial large subunit ribosomal RNA". The record is from RNAcentral. Lineage: Eukaryota; Metazoa; Chordata; Actinopteri; Anguilliformes; Ophichthidae.
GCAAGAAAGCUAGCCUAAACACCAGAUUAAAUAACCAACCAUAAAUACCACAGAACUACCAACUAAAGCAUUUUUCCACCCAAGUAUAGGCGAUAGAAAAGGAACCCACCCACUUAGAGCCAUAGAAAAAGUACCGCAAGGGAAAGCUGAAAAAGAAAUGAAACAAAUCCACAAAGCAAUGAAAAGCAGAGACUAAGACUCGUACCUUUUGCAUCAUGAUUUAGCAAGCACCCAUCAAGCAAGAGGACCCUCAGUUUGAAAUCCCGAAACUAGACGAGCUACUCCGGGGCAGCUUUUAAAGAGCCAACCCGUCUCUGUGGCAAAAGAGUGGGAAGACCCCCGAGUAGGAGUGAAAAGCCUAUCGAGCCUAGUUAUAGCUGGUUGCUUAAGAAAUGAAUAUUAGUUCAGCCCUACAUACUCCUUCAAUUCAACACAUCGACACCCGAUCAAAGAACAAAGUGAUAUGCCGGAGUUAGUCAAAGGGGGUACAGCUCCUUUGAAACAGAACACAACCUUACCAGCAGGACAAGGAUCACAAUUACCUAAGGAUACUACCCCCCAGUGGGCCCAAAAGCAGCCACCUGAAAAGAAAGCGUUAUAGCUCAAGAAGAACCACCACCAGUAAUACCGACAACAAAAUCCAAAUCCCCUAAUAAUAUUAAGCCGUCCUAUGUUUACAUAGAAGAGACAAUGCUAAAAUAAGUAAUAAGAGAGCACCCUACUCUCUCCCGGCACAAGCAUAAAUCAGAACGGACUAGCCACUGAUAGUUAACGGGCCCAGAACCGAGGGAAAAGCAGCUGAACCAACUAAACAAGAAAACCCUGCACAAAACCUAACCGUUAACCCCACACAGGAGUGCCAACAAGGAAAGACUAAAAGGGGAAGAAGGAACUCGGCAAACAAUAACCCCGCCUGUUUACCAAAAACAUCGCCUCUUGCUAAAAAGAAAGUAUAAGAGGUCCCGCCUGCCCAGUGACCACCGCGUUAAACGGCCGCGGUAUUAUAACCGUGCAAAGGUAGCGUAAUCAUUUGUCUUUUAAAUGAAGACCUGUAUGAAUGGCAUCACGAGGGUUCAACUGUCUCCUCCCCCCAGUCAAUGAAAUUGAUCUGCCCGUGCAGAAGCGGACAUAAAAACAUCAGACGAGAAGACCCUAUGGAGCUUCAGGCUAAAGAUUCAAGCAUGUAAAGAGACUUUACACCACAAAAGAUACAAAAUAAAUUUAAACCUAGUGCCCAAAUGAUCACAUGCCUUCGGUUGGGGCGACCACGGGGAAGAAUAAAGCCCCCGUAUGGAAUGAACACUCCCUCUAAACCAAGAGACACACCUCUAAGUAACAGAAAAUCUGACCAAAAAAUGACCCGGAACAAACAAAUCCGAUCAAUGAACCAAGUUACCCUAGGGAUAACAGCGCAAUCCUUUCCCAGAGUCCCUAUCGACGAAAGGGUUUACGACCUCGAUGUUGGAUCAGGACAUCCUAAUGGUGAAGCCGCUAUUAAGGGUUCGUUUGUUCAACGAUUAACAGUCCUACGUGAUCUGAGUUCAGACCGGAGUAAUCCAGGUCGGUUUCUAUCUAUGACCUUAUCUUUCUCCAGUACGAAAGGACCGAGAAAGGGAGGCCUAUACUAAAAGCAAGCCCCACCUCAAUCCCCUGAAGACAAAUAAAAUGGAUAAUGAAAUAGACCCUAUAAUUAAAGACAAUGAUAG